This 207-nucleotide ribosomal RNA is filed under the name uncultured bacterium. RNAcentral's name for it is "partial 16S ribosomal RNA". It matches the Rfam family "Bacterial small subunit ribosomal RNA", at positions 568 to 774 of the family's 1533-position model. The record is from RNAcentral.
CAUGUAGGCGGAUUAAUAAGUUUGAAGUGAAAUCCUAUAGCUUAACUAUAGAACUGCUUCGAAAACUGUUAAUCUAGAAUGUGGGAGAGGUAGAUGGAAUUUCUGGUGUAGGGGUAAAAUCCGUAGAGAUCAGAAGGAAUACCGAUUGCGAAGGCGAUCUACUGGAACAUUAUUGACGCUGAGACGCGAAAGCGUGGGGAGCAAACA